GAUGAACGCUGGCGGCGUGCUUAACACAUGCAAGUCGAACGGAAAGGCCCAAGCUUGCUUGGGUACUCGAGUGGCGAACGGGUGAGUAACACGUGGGUGAUCUGCCCUGCACUUCGGGAUAAGCCUGGGAAACUGGGUCUAAUACCGGAUAGGACCACAUUUUGGAUGGUGUGGUGGAAAGUUUUUCGGUGUGGGAUGAGCUCGCGGCCUAUCAGCUUGUUGGUGGGGUAAUGGCCUACCAAGGCGUCGACGGGUAGCCGGCCUGAGAGGGUGUACGGCCACAGUGGGACUGAGAUACGGCCCAGACUCCUACGGGAGGCAGCAGUGGGGAAUAUUGCACAAUGGGCGCAAGCCUGAUGCAGCGACGCCGCGUGGGGGAUGACGGCCUUCGGGUUGUAAACUCCUUUCGCUAGGGACGAAGCGUUUUUGUGACGGUACCUGGAGAAGAAGCACCGGCUAACUACGUG
RNAcentral lists this ribosomal RNA (467 nucleotides) under uncultured bacterium. RNAcentral's name for it is "partial 16S ribosomal RNA". It matches the Rfam family "Bacterial small subunit ribosomal RNA", at positions 28 to 507 of the family's 1533-position model. The record is from RNAcentral.